CCCUUAGAUGUCCUGGGCCGCACGCGUGCUACACUGACGCCUACAGCGAGUACUUCCCAGCCCCGAGAGGUGGCUGGUAAUCAGCAAUAGGCGUCGUGAUGGGGAUAGAUCUUUGGAAUUAUGGAUCUUGAACGAGGAAUGCCUAGUAAGCGCAGGUCAUUAGCCUGCGCUGAUUAAGUCCCUGCCCUUUGUACGCACCGCCCGUCGCUCCUACCGAUUUCGAGUGGUCCGGUGAAUCUUUCGGACUGCGCGCGGCCUCGUGCCGUGUCGCGGAAAGUCAGGUAAACCUUAUCACUUAGAGGAAGGAGAAGUCGUAACA
Molecule: ribosomal RNA, 319 nt
Filed under: uncultured eukaryote
Lineage: Eukaryota
Description: partial 18S ribosomal RNA
Rfam family: Eukaryotic small subunit ribosomal RNA
Source: RNAcentral